CUGGCUCCGGUUGGGGACAACCACUGGAAACGGUGGCUAAUACCGGAUGUGCCUAAGGGUGAAAGAUUAAUUGCCUGGAGAUGAGCUCGCGUCUGAUUAGCUAGUUGGUGAGGUAAAGGCUCACCAAGGCGACGAUCAGUAGCUGGUCUGAGAGGACGAUCAGCCACACUGGGACUGAGACACGGCCCAGACUCCUACGGGAGGCAGCAGUGGGGAAUUUUCCGCAAUGGGCGAAAGCCUGACGGAGCAAUACCGCGUGAGGGAGGAAGGCUCUUGGGUUGUAAACCUCUUUUCUCAGGGAAGAACAAAAUGACGGUACCUGAGGAAUCAGCAUCGGCUAACUCCGUGCCAGCAGCCGCGGUAAUACGGAGGAUGCAAGCGUUAUCCGGAAUGAUUGGGCGUAAAGGGUUCGUAGGUGGUAGUGAAAGUUUGCUGUUAAAAGUCGGGGCUCAACCCCGAACCGGCGGUGAAAACUACACAACU
RNAcentral lists this ribosomal RNA (483 nucleotides) under uncultured cyanobacterium. RNAcentral's name for it is "bacterial SSU rRNA". It matches the Rfam family "Bacterial small subunit ribosomal RNA", at positions 126 to 642 of the family's 1533-position model. The record is from RNAcentral. Lineage: Bacteria; Bacillati; Cyanobacteriota.